RNAcentral lists this long non-coding RNA (216 nucleotides) under Mytilus galloprovincialis (Mediterranean mussel). The record is from RNAcentral. Lineage: Eukaryota; Metazoa; Mollusca; Bivalvia; Mytilida; Mytilidae.
AUUUCGCUCAUAGUUAUAUAGAAGUGCUCACUUGUCCGUCCAUCCUUCCGAAAGACACCUUUUCUAAAAUUUGUUUGACAGAAAGCCUGCGGACUUAGUAGGAUUACUGGCUGUCAUAUAUGUGAUUAUACCGUCAUUUUUAAAUGACUAUGUGAGGUGGUGGUAUGGGUGUCUGAGUAUUUGUUUAGAAUCUUAACAAUAACGCUUUGUGACCGC